GUCUCUUCGGAGACAUCCGAUAAAAUUGGAACGAUACAGAGAAGAUUAGCAUGGCCCCUAGGCAAGGAUCACACGCACAAAUCGAGAAAUGAUCCUUCUAUUC
This is a small nuclear RNA of Ipomoea triloba (trilobed morning glory), 103 nucleotides long. Lineage: Eukaryota; Viridiplantae; Streptophyta; Magnoliopsida; Solanales; Convolvulaceae. The record is from RefSeq and is a predicted model, not a curated record.